Molecule: long non-coding RNA, 3776 nt
Filed under: Olea europaea subsp. europaea
Lineage: Eukaryota; Viridiplantae; Streptophyta; Magnoliopsida; Lamiales; Oleaceae
Source: RNAcentral
AAAACCUCCAAUGAUCGAACUUAUGACUUGUCAAACGACCAAGUCCUCGAGAUAAGCCCUUGAUGAUAAAUCGACAUUAUGAUCAAGCAAGACAUGAUAAAGAAAAUCUAGCAUUCAUUUCAAAAAAAUUCACAAGGAAAAGGCCCGAUGUUAUGGUUAGGCAAUGUACAUACAAAAUAUGAUUGGGGUGGGGGCCUAGGAUGUUCUAUUCUUAGACCUCAUCCCCAGGAGCAGCGUCACCCUCCUCGAGCGUAUCCUUAUCCUCGACCACUUCUCGACUGUGCUAUCGGAAUCAGAUAGCUCGAAGGUCUCAGCUAUGUUAGGGAUCAUCUUGAGCUCCUCAGGGACAACCUCGGGCAUCUUCAUCCUGAAUAAGGCUUGAGCUUCUUUAAGGGCGUGAAGGUACAAGCCUAACACAUACUCGCCCUUCAGCCUGUCUAUCUCCUCGAAAUUUUUCAAGUCCUUGAUUGCUAAAGCCCAACCCUCCUCAACCUUAGCCCCAAACUCUUUCUUAAGCUCGAGCUUUAGUUCUUCAGCCUCAUCUUUGGUAGCCCCCACUUCAUCUCGAGCUUUCUUCAACUUGUUUCUCUCAUCCUCGCGCUCCCUCUGAAGCUGAGAUCGAGCAGCCUCAGCAUCAGCAAGCUUCUUAUCUCGAAGCUUCACAGCCUCAACCAACCCUUCCAUCUUGUGGGACUCAUCCAUCCCUCGCAGUAAAAGUCCUCAGGCAACGCUGAGUGUCUGACAAUCAAAAAAGAAAUAGCAUUAGAACUGGAAAACUACUUUGCACAAAAUCAUAAAGGGCUCAAUACUUACUUUCAAGGUAAGGAGCUCGAGGGCCUUCAUGCCCUCAUCAAACCCAAUGUCGCCUUUGUAUUUUGCGACAAUGCUCGGGACCAGAUGGCGUCGUUCAAAAUCCUCGAUGAUCAAGGCAACAGGAGGAAUGAAGUCAUCCUCGAAAUCAAUAACCUCGAGAGUUACCCAAGGAGGAAGUGGCUGCGAAGACCUCGGAGUUAGUCUGGGAAAAUUUUCUUGUCGUCUUGGAGGAAGAGGGCUUAGAGCUCGAGGCCUUGAACUCGAUGAUAAUCCCAGACCUUGAGGAGAAACGUCAAUUGUGUAUACCUGGGGCCUCUUUUUCCCCUUCUUCUGAGGCCUUGAACUCGAUGAUAAUCCCGGACUUUGAGCUCAUUGCUCGACGAAGAGCUGAUGGAUCAAAAGACAUCUCUACACAAAAUGAAGUAUUAGGCAAGAGCUUAUGAUCGAGCAAAAUUUAUAAAUUAACAGAAGAAUAAAUAUCCUACCCUCAAGGCCUUUUGCACGCGCAAGGUCGAGGAUGUCAUCCUCGAGAAUAUCAUCUAUAUCAUACACCAAGGGCUUGAGAUCCUCUAACAUCUGUUGUUCCCUCUCUAGAGUCUCGAAGUAGGCAUGUCUCUCACAAAACUUUAUUGUGUCCGGGAUAUCCCACGAGGGCCAAAAAGGAAGAUCGAGAUCUCGAGCUAUAACAUAGAACCAUUUAUCCUUCCACCCCUUCAUUGAACUAGGCAUCCUUGAGAUCCUAAAAGCACCUCGGGAAGAAAGGUAGGCGAAGCAUGUAAACCUAGGAAGCUGUUUAAGCUCGAAGACCAUUCUACAUAGGUCAAGGUAUAGUGUGAUACCUAGGUAUCUACAGGCAAUGAAAAAAUAAACGAGCAUUCUCCACCCAUUGGGCACUAAUUGUCCCGGGCACAUGGAAUGCUCUACCAAAAAACCAACAAAAAAUGGAUGCAUGGGCCACCUAAACCCAGCCUUUAAAGAGUCCCUAAAAAUCACAAACUCAACUUUUCUGCCCUAUUCAUUCUAUCCUCGGGGUCGGGAGCCCUACAGUCAUUGUAGGGCAUGAGCCCAUAUUCCUUUGCCUCUUGCAUAGCUAGAUGUUCUUUAAAUCUACACUGGACAUCAGGAAACUUAAGCUCGACAACAUCUAGCUCCCUAGGUCGAACAUCUACUGGUAUUAAUUGAGCCCUACGGUCCCCAGAGUUACCCGAAUUCUCAGAUCCCCGGCCACUCUCAAUGCUCGACAUCUCUCUUCAAUUUAAAACUAAAGAAAUAACUUAAAAGUCCAAAGCCUUACCUCAAGGAACCUGACGCCCAAACAACAAAAUCUAAGUUUGUAGCUCAACCCCGAUCUCGCACUUGAAGAUUCACGGAGAGUAAAAAGUGAAAAAUGAACAGAAUCAUGGGGUAUUUAUAGAACCUUGGGGGAAGACCAAGGGUCACAUCAAUCUCAGCCUUUGACCCAUGCCACGUGUCUUCCAUCCAGGGACCCCUCAUUUUUUAUUGAGACAGCUCGUACUCUUGCUAUUUCCACACUGACUUUUCCCUGAAAACAUUAAAAUCUCGACGACAUCACUUAUCAGCAAAUCGAGCUCUAUGCAUCUCGCACCCUGGCUUAACUUCCUUGGCCCGAUCCCAGGGUCAGAUGUAUGGGGACCAAUGAUGUGGAAAGUUUGGUUAUGCUCAAACACUUAAUCCCGAGAACUUUUCUCAGAAACUUGUGAUUCCAUAUCUGUAGUGCUCGAGCAUUAUUCCCUGGGAUAUAAUGCUCAAGCACUUCUAGCCUUGCUCUAUUCUCAUUUUCAUGAUCCUGUCCUCGAGCAAGAACGGUCCUCGGGAUAUAUUCUUCUCGCAGCCUACGAUUGUUAUUACUAACCCAAUAAGACUCCUAUAUGAUUAGGACUCUAACUCUACCAUAUUACUUCAAUACUUGACUCCCACAAGGAUUAUAUCCCAAACAUAAUUAUGGCAUUGAUCCAACCCCUUCACCUAAUUGGACUCCAUUGGAUAAAUACAUCCAACUGGCACAAUCCUACUAGGAGUACACUACCUACCUCUAUAAAUGCCAACCUUGGACAUUAUUCAGGUACAUUUUCAUUAUUUACAGAUUAUAGCCUCAUGCACAUGAUUCUCUUUCUAACUUAAGCAUCAGAGGGGGGACGAAAACAUACCUCGUUGCCCUUGUUUAAGGUAUUGAAAGACCACGAUCGUGCUCAUUCAAAGUCCUCAAGCUCGAGAAAUCAACAUGUACGAUUUUUGGUAGCAUCAGCGGUCAAGCUGGACACUGGUUUCCCGAUACCACCCAAACUAUAUCAUCGAAUGAAGAAUCCUUAGGCCUAUAUAUUUUACCAUAGCCACUUAGUAAACCCUCCUCCAACUCAUUAUCUACCAACUGCUUAUUUAAAAAUUUUGAUGAGCUAGAAUACUUCCUAAUAUCAGAAGUUUUCAACACGGCAGACCUCAAUUACUUUAUCUCAUCCUCUGAAAUGGAGAGAACUUAUAACAUUGGUAGUUAUUCUUAUCAAUCUUACACUUCUUACAGUUUACAAUAUUGGCCUGGAUUAUGGAGCUUUUCAAACUGACUUCAUCCUUUUCUUUAAAUGGCAUAAUUUCUUCGUCGAAAACUGAAUCUUUAACUGCAUUUUAUUCUUUUCUUUCUUCCAAUCAUUAAGAAUUGAAUUAUUGAAACGAGACGGAAGUACUUGAACUUGCCCCCGCGAAGUUUUUACCGGUGGAGGCUAUGCAACCUUCUUCAAAUUUAUCUUACAGACAUUGCAGCUAGAAGCCUUCAGUUUCAUCUCUGUAGCAGAUCACCACUCGCUAAACUACUUUUACCAACAAUAGUCUCCAUCCCAAUCAAUGCUAAUCCAAGGUUCAAAUUUUCUACAUUGUCAUGUAACAUCCUUGCCACUUACUCUUUUUGAUAUCAUCUUCUUUACAAGCUAUUAUUUUUCACAUCAUCGUCA